AGUGAACGCUGGCGGUAGGCCUAACACAUGCAAGUCGAACGGCAGCACAGUAAGAGCUUGCUCUUACGGGUGGCGAGUGGCGGACGGGUGAGGAAUACAUCGGAAUCUACUUUUUCGUGGGGGAUAACGUAGGGAAACUUACGCUAAUACCGCAUACGACCUACGGGUGAAAGCAGGGGAUCUUCGGACCUUGCGCGAUUGAAUGAGCCGAUGUCGGAUUAGCUAGUUGGCGGGGUAAAGGCCCACCAAGGCGACGAUCCGUAGCUGGUCUGAGAGGAUGAUCGGCCACACUGGAACUGGGACACGCUCCAGACGCCUACGGGACGCAGCAGUCGCGAACAUUGGACAAUGGGCGCAAGCCUGAUCCAGCCAUACCGCGUGGGUGAAGAAGGCCUUCGGGUUGUAAAGCCCUUUUGUUGGGAAAGAAAAGCAGCAGGUUAAUACCACGCUGUUCUGACGGUACCCAAAGAAUAAGCACCGGCUAACUUCGUG
This 492-nucleotide ribosomal RNA is filed under the name uncultured bacterium. Its description in RNAcentral is "partial 16S ribosomal RNA". It matches the Rfam family "Bacterial small subunit ribosomal RNA", at positions 29 to 507 of the family's 1533-position model. The record is from RNAcentral.